Armigeres subalbatus is the source of this 3614-nucleotide long non-coding RNA. RefSeq lists it as uncharacterized. The record is from RefSeq and is a predicted model, not a curated record. The transcript is spliced from 4 exons. NCBI's taxonomy places the organism in Eukaryota, Metazoa, Arthropoda, Insecta, Diptera, Culicidae.
UCUCGCGAACUGGCUCUUAAUUUCAUUUUGCAAAUCUCGCCAAAUAACUUUCAAAGCGGGAUCGCGAGUUCUUUGGUAUUGCCUUCGCCUCACAUUUUUAAGACGGAUCAGUAGCUGAAGAUCGUCGUCAAUAAUAAUGGAGUUGAAUUUAAUUUCACAUUUAGGAAUUGCAAUGCCUCUGGCUUCGACAAUUAAAUUUGUCAAAGAUACGAGCGCAUUGUCAAUAUCACUUUUUGUAUCCAAAGGAAUAUUAACAUCAAAAUUCCUAUCGAUAUACGUUUUAUAUAAAUCCCAAUCAGCUCUAUGAUAAUUAAAAGUAGAGCUGAUCGGAUUAUAAAUGGCUUCUUGUGAGAUUUCAAAUGUCACAGGAAGGUAAUCAGAGUCAAAGCAUUGACGAAUACAUAGACGGAGUGGUGGCCAUUUUUUCGGGCACCACUAUAUACCCCUGGGGAGUGACGGAUUACAAUUAUUACAAUCACUCGACCAUUGAGAAGCCCCUCAAUUCAAAUCACGUCAGUUUGACAACAGUUGUCAUUUCCAUUUUUGUUUACCUCCUGUUUCUGAUUCAAUGAAUCGAGACGAGUAUCAUCAUAUGUAUCUGAAUCCAUCGUAUGUAGCAGAAGGAAAUGGAACUAAACCGCCGAUAAUAAUCCACAUCGAUGAUAUCAUCAGAAAGAACGAUAUCCCUUGGACAGACUUGGAUCUUUUCCUUGCACGGAAAGCCCUCAACGUCCUCCUUGAUAUAGUGGUCGCUGACUCAGGAAUUCGGAACACAAUUAUCCAGACUGACAAUGCCUAAGCAAGUUUUUAUAUCUGUGGAGAUAUCAGAGGAAAUGGAGGAAAUCGUUGUUCCUAGUGGGCUCACUUGUCACUUCCACUCCGAAUGCCGUUGCGUUUGUAAAAGUUUCAUCUGUUGUAUGUCCCGAUAGCGCCUGCACUCGAUAAUCCUGUGAGUGCGUGAAGAAAAGGAAGACGCUAAGAGAAAAGAUAUCAAUCAGCUGAAGAAAUCGCUGCUCACCAUACCGUUCGAAACUGCAGAAAAGCUAAAGCUAAUCGUCGUCGAACAUUGCGCAUAUUAAGAAAUAUCAACAGCAACUCGGUCGUUAACAUAAUUGAACGGGAAAUCAAUUAGUCAAAUUACAUAUAUACUACUUGGGGAUUCUAAACUGAGAACUUUUCUGGAAGAUGGAAUAUUCAGCUGCUAAAAUUCUUGACAGCUUGUGAAGGACGGCCUGUGGUGCAAAUGUAUUGUUCUGUGAGCCAUAAUCGGGUAACUAGCGUCUCGACAAAUAUUUAUGACGGCAGCUCAUCGCUAUUGCAUCUCGAUGGCAACUGUCUGUUCCAAAAGAAGAUUAUUGUGAACCGGAUGUCGUUUUGUAUGCCCCAUCAACGAUCGUAAAAGUUAGGAAUGACACUGGCUACCAACCAGUAACCGUGAGGACGUUGCUAGAUGCUACAGUAUUUCUUCUUUUGAGCUUGAAUUUCGACAUUACUCCUUGGGAGUAUAGCUUGCGAUAACUUGCGGCAACUCGACACGGACGACAAACUCGGAUUUAGUGAAUAAGCUCUUCAGAACUGCGGAUAUGAGAUGAGAUCUGCUGGGCCAAUAUUUAUCGCAGAUAUUAGGUUGUGACUACAGAGGCAGCUUAUACGAUCGUAGCUUGGCAGCAAGCCAUUGCACAUGACUCAACUCAGCUGAUAGAGAUAUAGUUUCAUCCAGGUGUAGUAGUGUACUGCCGCUAACCGAAAACCAGGCUAACCUGGAUACGGUAUCCAUAUACAGAUAAGUCUGACUUGCGGUUAGCGGCAGUGUAGGUUUAAAUACAACACUUCUAUUUCAGAACUUUUCCUGAAACGAUAUUUAACGUAACACAAAAUUACUCAGUUAUCAGCAAGUGAUUCUUCUUCGUGCUAUAAAUUGUUCAAAUAAAGAUAUUAUUAUUGAAAACAAACUAUAUCAUUCUUUCGUUUUUGAAUUUAAUUGUUAAAUAACAAAUUUCUAAAAUAUUUUCAUACUUAUUAAAUAAGUAUUUCAUAAAUCAGUAAUCAAAAAAUCAGUAAAAUCAGUUGGUAAUUUGUUUGAUUGGUUGCUUGACUGGUUGAUUGAUUGGUUGGUCGGCUCGUUAGUUCAUAUGUUGUUUUGUUGGUUGCUUGACUGGUUGAUUAGUUGGUUGGUUGAAUGAUUGCUUGGUUGAUUGGUAGCUUGCUUUAAAGGUUGGUUAUUUGAUUGAUUGAUGCUUGAUUUGUUAGUUGGUAGAAUGGUUGAUUGGUUGGUUGAUUGCUUGAUUGGUUGGUAAUUUGGUUGAUUGGUUGCUUUACUGGUUGAUUGGCUGGUCGGCUGGUUAGUUGAUAUGUUGUUUUGUUGGUUGCUUCAAUGGUUGCUUGGUUGGUUAAUUAGUUGAUUUGUUGCCUGAUUGAUUGGUAGCUUGCUUGAAUGGCUGAUAGCUGGAUUAGUUGGUUGGUUAUUUGGUUGAUGGGUUGCUUUCAGAGCAUAAAAUAUUCACUUUCAUGAAGCACAUUCACUCCGACUUUUGACAUUCGUGUUUUGAUUAUUCAAAACAUAGAAUGACUCACUCAGUUUACUUCUUCAUAAAUUCAUUCAAUUGAUUACCACUGAGUAUGGUAAUUGCGCGCGAAAAAAACAAAAUUAGCCUUAAUUAUAUUGACAUUUGACGCUAAAAAUGCCCCUCAAUUGAACGUCGGGAUUAGAUCUAUGCGUGUAGUUAAAUAUUUAAAUCAUCAAAAAUGUGUUCAGUUUUACGAUUAUUUAAUAAUUUGUGAUAUUCAAAUAAAUACUCACUGACCCAUAUUCAUCAUGAAAAUUGACGGUGCAGAGCCGAAUAUGAAUAUGUUUAGAAGUGAAGUGACAAAAAAGGCCGAUGGGCUUCAUAAAAAAUAAUCGAAUAUUUACAGCUCUGGUUGCUUUACCGUUUGAUUGAAUUGUUGGUCGGCUGAUUGGUUGAUUAGUUGUUUUUUUGGUUUCUUGAUUGGUUGAUUAGUUGAUUGAUUGAUUGAUUGGUUGGUUGCUGCUUGAUUUGUUAGUUGGAAUAAUGGUUGAUUGGUUGGUUUCUUUUUUGUUUAUUGAUUACUUGAUUGGUUCAUAAUUUGGUUGAUUGGUUGCUUCAAUGGUUGAUUAGUUGGUUGGUUGAAUGAUUGCUUGGUUGAUUGGUAGCUUGCUUGAAUGGUGGGUUGCUUGAUUGAUUGGUAGUUUGCUUGAAUGGUUGGUUAUUUGAUUGAUUGCUGCUUGAUUUGUUAGAUAGUAGAAUAAUUGAUUGGUUGGUUGAUUGCUUGCUUGAUUGGUUGGUCGGCUGGUUAGUUGACAUGUUGUUUUGUUGGUUGCUUGGUUGGUUGAUUAGUUGAUUCGUUGCUUGAUUGAUUGGUGGCUUACUUGAAUGGCUGAUUGCUGGAUUAGUUGGUUGGUUAUUUGGUUGAUGGGUUGCUUUACCGUUUGAUUGAAUGGUUGGUCGGCUGGUUGGUUGAUUAGUUGUUUUGUUGGUUUCUUGAUUGGUUGAUUAGUUGAUUGAUUGGUUUGUUAUGCUUGAUUAGUUAGUUGGUAGAACUGUUGAUUAGUUGAUUCCUUGAUAGUUGGCUGGUUGCAUAAUUGGUUGGUUGGU